RNAcentral lists this long non-coding RNA (930 nucleotides) under Rattus norvegicus (Norway rat). Its description in RNAcentral is "long non-coding RNA NONRATT015652". Lineage: Eukaryota; Metazoa; Chordata; Mammalia; Rodentia; Muridae. The record is from RNAcentral.
GCAGCAAGUGCAUUACCACAGAGCCAUCUCUCAAGGCUCAGAUUCUUCUUUAAAGAGGUGACAGCUCUAAGAGGGCCAAAGGAGAGAAACAAAAACAUCUUCCUGGGUCAGAGGCAGGAGUCCAGCAUCCUCGGAGACAUCUCGGGAAGUACUUCCUACAAAACUGUAUUCAUUUCCAUUAUGAAGAUGCAGACAAGGUGUUCUAACGUGACAGUGUUCUCCUCGAGUUCAAACAGAGUGUUUAGCCAUUUAUUGGUCCCCUUUAUGCUCCAACACAGAAUUAAAAACAGCCACAGUCAGAAAAUUUACCCAUUUUAUUGAUGCAUUGCAAUUGCUCUACUUUUUUUUACCAUAUUAUGUAGAAAAUACUGAAAAUACAAGCUACUUUGUAAAACCAAAGACAACAACAAAUCCAAAGAUAAACUAUGUUUUACACAAUGGACCCUUUUCCCAGUUAGUAUUAAAUUUUAAAUAGCUAUUUCUUUUGUUAAAAUGAUUAUUUUACAUACUCCCUAAGUACACCUGCAUUACGAACAUAGAUCAGUAAUUCUCAGAACUACCUGUUUCUAGAAGCUUGUUGUAAAAGGAAGCACACAACCAGAAAAGGGAGAAAGAAAAAAGUUUAAACCACACACAGUAACUAGCAUAUCAAAUACAUUUAAUAAAGUAGGAAUUCCAUUGCAAUAUCAAGGAUUCAAAGCAGAAAUACUAACAUUACAUAUAAUGUACAUAUAAUGUACUGCUACAUAUAGUGAGAUUAUUUUUCAAGCUGAAUUGAAACCACACAUUAUAUAAAGUUUACCAACAAACAACCAUGGAAACAUGGAGACAUGCUGCACCAUCCAUCAGUUAAAAAAAGUCAAAAUACAAAGCAGGCUUGGCCAUUCCUGUCACCGAGGGGCAAUUUCAUUUCCUACCCUAAAACAAACC